RNAcentral lists this long non-coding RNA (484 nucleotides) under Cyanistes caeruleus (blue tit). RNAcentral's name for it is "lncRNA (ENSCCEG00000007868.1)". Lineage: Eukaryota; Metazoa; Chordata; Aves; Passeriformes; Paridae. The record is from RNAcentral.
CUCUUUUUCAGAGUAAACCCUACAUUAUUUCCUUUUUCCUGUGAUUCUGGAGGAGUCCUUUUCAAGCUUUCCCCUUCAUUUGGGUGGAGCAUGAUAAGAUCAGUUCCUUCACCUGGCAUUUCUGGAGGUCCCCAAAAUUCCUACCAACCCAGCUGGUAUGACAAAGGGAAGGCCAUGUGCAAGAUUUGGAGGCUCCAUGGCACUAGAAAUACAGCCAGGAGAAAUACAUGUCAAGUCGCAGCCUUAUCUGUAACCAAGGAUACACCAGGGCAUUACCUGAAAUUGAAAUUAUAACAUGUUGAAGACAGAGAAUGAUGAUGUCACUCUCUAGAGACCUGAGACAAGUUGACUGAAUAUAUUCCUCAUUUGGGAACUAAACACCAAACUGUGAUAUGAGAACAAUUUUCUGGAUGGGAGAGAGGUAAAUGGUCUGGUACUGGAUGGUUUCUCUACUAAAUAAAACUGCUGGGGAACCAAGGUAACA